This 214-nucleotide ribosomal RNA is filed under the name Saccharomyces cerevisiae (brewer's yeast). RNAcentral describes it as "partial 28S rRNA". Lineage: Eukaryota; Fungi; Ascomycota; Saccharomycetes; Saccharomycetales; Saccharomycetaceae. The record is from RNAcentral.
GAUCAGACAUGGUGUUUUGUGCCCUCUGCUCCUUGUGGGUAGGGGAAUCUCGCAUUUCACUGGGCCAGCAUCAGUUUUGGUGGCAGGAUAAAUCCAUAGGAAUGUAGCUUGCCUCGGUAAGUAUUAUAGCCUGUGGGAAUACUGCCAGCUGGGACUGAGGACUGCGACGUAAGUCAAGGAUGCUGGCAUAAUGGUUAUAUGCCGCCCGUCUUGA